CUAUACAUGCAGUCGAGCGGACCGACGGGAGCUUGCUCCCUUAGGUCAGCGGCGGACGGGUGAGUAACACGUGGGUAACCUGCCUGUAAGACUGGGAUAACUCCGGGAAACCGGGGCUAAUACCGGAUGCUUGAUUGAACCGCAUGGUUCAAUCAUGAAAGGCGGCUUCGGCUGCCGUUUACAGAUGGACCCGCGGCGCAUUAGCUAGUUGGUGAGGUAACGGCUCACCAAGGCGACGAUGCGUAGCCGACCUGAGAGGGUGAUCGGCCACACUGGGACUGAGACACGGCCCAGACUCCUACGGGAGGCAGCAGUAGGGAAUCUUCCGCAAUGGACGAAAGUCUGACGGAGCAACGCCGCGUGAGUGAUGAAGGUUUUCGGAUCGUAAAGCUCUGUUGUUAGGGAAGAACAAGUACCGUUCGAAUAGGGCGGUACCUUGACGGUACCUAACCAGAAAGCCACGGCUAACUACGUGCCAGCAGCCGCGGUAAUACGUAGGUGGCAAGCGUUGUCCGGAAUUAUUGGGCGUAAAGCGCGCGCAGGCGGUUUCUUAAGUCUGAUGUGAAAGCCCCCGGCUCAACCGGGGAGGGUCAUUGGAAACUGGGGAACUUGAGUGC
RNAcentral lists this ribosomal RNA (617 nucleotides) under Bacillus sp. CSu1_30. RNAcentral's name for it is "bacterial SSU rRNA". It matches the Rfam family "Bacterial small subunit ribosomal RNA", at positions 49 to 649 of the family's 1533-position model. Lineage: Bacteria; Bacillati; Bacillota; Bacilli; Caryophanales; Bacillaceae. The record is from RNAcentral.